GCUUCUAGAGAAAUCUAAGUCUCUUUUUCACUUUUUGUAAAGUAAAAUCUUUUAGUCUUUUUGUUUGUUCUCUUGCCGCAACUGCUUGUGCUCUUUACUCAGCAGCAAUGAGCAAUAGCAGAGCAAAAUCAUCUUCAACCAAAAAAAAAAAAAAAAAAAAAAAAAAACCUAGCAAACUAUGAAGAAGACGAAAGAGGCAAAGGAGGAGAAAACAAAAAAUGAACCUGAAAUGAAGAUCUGUGAACACAUCAAGUCUAUUGCCAACACCAAUUGAUGAAUGAGAAACGGGUGUUUUGUGAUCUUUUCUUCUGCAAGCUAAAGAUACGGUGAUUGCAUUAGCCCUUCAUGUCACUUCAGUGAGAAACGACCCUUUUUUUUUCUCUCCUCAAAUGAGAAACGGGCCUUCUAUAAUCUUUUCUUCUGCAACCUAAAGAUAUGGUGACUUCAGUUUUUGAAGGUAAAAGAGGUUGGGUCCUAAGUAGAAAGUCAUGACGUGCUGAUUAUUGUUUUUUGGAGAAGGGCAAAGGGGGAUUCUUGCCGGAUUUGCUAGACUAUUAUAAAGAAAUCUUAUUAAAUAAAUCUGCUAAUGAAAAAACUUAUAUACUUUGUAAUGAUUUGGGUUUUUAUUCUUGUGGAUGGAGCCAUAACUUAUAUACUUUGUAAUGAUUUGGCUUUUUCUUUUUCUUCUUCAGACCUAUGAAAAGGUUGAUGAAUUCAGGUUGUUUUAUUAUUAGAAUCCAGGUUUUUAUUAUUGAUUUUCUUGACAAUAUUGGAUGAUUUGGGUUGAUGAAUUCAAGUUGUUUUAUUAUUGAUUUUUUUGACAA
Long non-coding RNA from Quercus robur (English oak), 824 nucleotides. RefSeq lists it as uncharacterized. Lineage: Eukaryota; Viridiplantae; Streptophyta; Magnoliopsida; Fagales; Fagaceae. The transcript has 3 exons. The record is from RefSeq and is a predicted model, not a curated record.